GCCAGCAGCCAUAUCACCCUGCAUCUCACAACUGGCAACCUACUGAAGCUAAGCUAUUGUGAGCCUAGUCAGUACCAGGAGGGAGACCUCCUGGGAAAAACUAAGGUUGCUGCUGGAA
This 118-nucleotide ribosomal RNA is filed under the name Lepisosteus oculatus (spotted gar). The record is from RNAcentral. Lineage: Eukaryota; Metazoa; Chordata; Actinopteri; Semionotiformes; Lepisosteidae.